Molecule: ribosomal RNA, 611 nt
Filed under: uncultured bacterium
Lineage: Bacteria
Description: bacterial SSU rRNA
Rfam family: Bacterial small subunit ribosomal RNA
Source: RNAcentral
CCUACGGGAGGCAGCAGUAAGGAAUAUUGGUCAAUGGACGCAAGUCUGAACCAGCCAUGCCGCGUGAAGGAUUAAGGUCCUCUGGAUUGUAAACUUCUUUUAUCUGGGACGAAAAAAGGCGAUUCUUCGUCACUUGACGGUACCAGAUGAAUAAGCACCGGCUAACUCCGUGCCAGCAGCCGCGGUAAUACGGAGGGUGCAAGCGUUAUCCGGAUUCACUGGGUUUAAAGGGUGCGUAGGCGGGCAGGUAAGUCAGUGGUGAAAUCCUAGAGCUUAACUCUAGAACUGCCAUUGAUACUAUCUGUCUUGAAUAUUGUGGAGGUAAGCGGAAUAUGUCAUGUAGCGGUGAAAUGCUUAGAUAUGACAUAGAACACCUAUUGCGAAGGCAGCUUACUACGCAUAUAUUGACGCUGAGGCACGAAAGCGUGGGGAUCAAACAGGAUUAGAUACCCUGGUAGUCCACGCCCUAAACGAUGAUUACUCGACAUUUGUGAUACACUAUAAGUGUCUGAGCGAAAGCAUUAAGUAAUCCACCUGGGAAGUACGACCGCAAGGUUGAAACUCAAAGGAAUUGACGGCUGAGAGNGCGAGGACGACGACGAGGGAGGAGG